Molecule: long non-coding RNA, 956 nt
Filed under: Aotus nancymaae (Ma's night monkey)
Lineage: Eukaryota; Metazoa; Chordata; Mammalia; Primates; Aotidae
Description: lncRNA (ENSANAG00000038925.1)
Source: RNAcentral
GUUAGGGAUGGAUGGAGGAUGGAGGGAUGUAAUGGAUAUGAUGGAUGGAGGAUGUAGUGGGGAAUGGAGGAUGAAUGAUGGAUGGAGGAUGGAUGGAUGAAUGAAGGAUGGAUGGAUGGUGAAUGGAUGGAUGAUGAAUGGAUGGUGGAUGGAUGGUGGAUGGAUGGAUGGAUGGAUGGAAUGGAUGGAUGAUGGAUGGAUGGAUAGAGGAUGGAUGGAUGAUGAAUGGAUGGUGGAUGGAUGAUGGAGUUGGAAUGGAUGGAUGUGGAUGGAUGGAUGAAUGAUGGAUGGAAUGUGAUGGAGGAGGAUGGAAUGGUGGAUGGAUGGAUGGAUGGUGGUAGAUGGAUGAUGAAUGGAUGGUGGAUGGAUGAUGGAUGAUGGAUGGAUGAUGGAUGGAUGGUGGAUAGAUGAAUGAUGAAUGGAUGGUGGAUGGAUGGUGGGUGGAUGGAUGGAUGAUGGAUGGAUGAUGGAAUGAUGGAUGGAUGGAUGAUGGAUGGAUGAUGAAUGGAUGGUGGAUGGAUGGUGGAUGGAUGAGUGGAUGGUGGAUGGAUGGACAGAUGGAUGAAGGAUGGAUGGUGAAUGGGUGGUGAAUGGAUGGUGGAUGGAUGGAUGGAUGGAGGAUGGAUGGUGGAUGGAUGGAUGGAUGGUGGAUAGAUGGAUGAUGAAUGGAUGGUGGAUGGAUGGUGGAUGAUGGAUGGAUGGAUGAUGGAUGAAUGGAUGGAUGGAUGAGGAUGGAAUGUGAUGAAUGGAUGGAUGGGAUGGAUGGAUGGACUGGAUGGAGGAUGGAUGGAUGAUGAAUGGAUGGUGGAUGGAUGGUGGAUGGAUGGAUGGAUGAUGGAUGGAUGGAUGGAUGAUGGAUGGAUGGAUGGAUGGAUGGAGGAUGGAUGGUGGAUGGAUGGAUGGAUGGUGGGUAGAUGGAUGAUGAAUGGAUGGUGGGUGGAUGGAUGGAUAAUGGA